GUGGUUUAAGUUCGAAGCAACGCGAAGAACCUUACAGGUCUUGACAUCCCUGACAACCAAGAGAUUGGCGUUCCCCUUCGGGGACAGGGUGACAGGUGGUGCAUGGUUGUCGUCAGCUCGUGUCGUGAGAUGUUGGGUUAAGUCCCGCAACGAGCGCAACCCUCGCCUCUAGUUGCCAGCAUUCGGUUGGGCACUCUAGAGGGACUGCCGGCGACAAGUCGGAGGAAGGUGGGGAUGACGUCAAAUCAUCAUGCCCCUUAUGACCUGGGCUACACACGUGCUACAAUGGGCGGUACAAAGGGCUGCGAACCCGCGAGGGGGAGCGAAUCCCAAAAAGCCGCUCUCAGUUCGGAUUGCAGGCUGCAACUCGCCUGCAUGAAGCCGGAAUCGCUAGUAAUCGCGGAUCAGCAUGCCGCGGUGAAUACGUUCCCGGGCCUU
RNAcentral lists this ribosomal RNA (438 nucleotides) under uncultured Geobacillus sp. RNAcentral's name for it is "bacterial SSU rRNA". It matches the Rfam family "Bacterial small subunit ribosomal RNA", at positions 941 to 1382 of the family's 1533-position model. The record is from RNAcentral. Lineage: Bacteria; Bacillati; Bacillota; Bacilli; Caryophanales; Anoxybacillaceae.